UACGAAGGGUGCGAGCGUUAUUCGGAAUAACUGGGCGUAAAGGGCGCGUAGGCGGUAUUCUAAGUCGACGGUUAAAGAUCAUGGCUUAACUGUGAAAAGGCCGGCGAUACUGGGAUGCUAGAGGGUGGUAGAGAGGAGUGGAAUUCUCGGAGUAGCGGUAAAAUGCGUAGAUCUCGAGAGGAACACCGAUGGCGAAGGCAGCUCCUUGGACCACAACUGACGCUAAGGCGCGAAAGCGUGGGGAGCAAACAGG
This 253-nucleotide ribosomal RNA is filed under the name uncultured bacterium. Its description in RNAcentral is "partial 16S ribosomal RNA". It matches the Rfam family "Bacterial small subunit ribosomal RNA", at positions 524 to 776 of the family's 1533-position model. The record is from RNAcentral.